RNAcentral lists this ribosomal RNA (460 nucleotides) under uncultured bacterium. Its description in RNAcentral is "partial 16S ribosomal RNA". It matches the Rfam family "Bacterial small subunit ribosomal RNA", at positions 338 to 795 of the family's 1533-position model. The record is from RNAcentral.
CCUACGGGUGGCAGCAGUGAGGAAUAUUGGUCAAUGGGCGUAAGCCUGAACCAGCCAAGUCGCGUGAGGGAUGAAGGUUCUAUGGAUCGUAAACCUCUUUUAUAAGGGAAUAAAGUGCGGGACGUGUCCCGUUUUGUAUGUACCUUAUGAAUACGGAUCGGCUAACUCCGUGCCAGCAGCCGCGGUAAUACUGAGGAUCCGAGAGUUGUCCGGAUUUAUUGGGUUUAAAGGGUGCUUAGGCGGCCUGUUAAGUGGGCGGUGAAAGUGUGUGGCUCAACCAUAGAAUUGCAGUUGAAAAUGGGAGGCUUGAGUAUGUUUGAGGCAGGCGGAAUGCGCGGUGUAGCGGUGAAAUGCUUAGAUAUCGCGCAGAACCCCGAUUGCGAAGGCAGCCUGCCAAGCCAUGACUGACGCUGAUGCACGAAAGCGUGGGGAUCAAACAGGAUUAGAUACCCUGGUAGUC